RNAcentral lists this ribosomal RNA (402 nucleotides) under uncultured bacterium. Its description in RNAcentral is "bacterial SSU rRNA". It matches the Rfam family "Bacterial small subunit ribosomal RNA", at positions 32 to 414 of the family's 1533-position model. The record is from RNAcentral.
AAUCAACGCUGGCGGCGUACCUCAGACAUGCAAGUCGAACGCGAAAGUUUCCUUCGGGAGACAAGUAGAGUGGCGCACGGGUGAGUAACACGUAGGUAAUCUACCUUUGGAUGGGGAAUAACAACCGGAAACGGUUGCUAAUACCGCAUAAUGCAGCGGCACCUAAUGGUGACAGUUGUUAAAGCGGGGGAUCGAAAGACCUCGCGUCUGAAGAGGAGCCUGCGGCGGAUUAGCUAGUGGUAAGGUAAUGGCUUACCAAGGCUACGAUCCGUAACCGGCCUGAGAGGGCGGUCGGUCACACUGACACUGACAUACGGGUCAGACUCCUACGGGAGGCAGCAGUCGGGAAUUUUGGGCAAUGGGCGAAAGCCUGACCCAGCAACGCCGCGUGAAGGAUGAAAU